Molecule: ribosomal RNA, 253 nt
Filed under: uncultured bacterium
Lineage: Bacteria
Description: partial 16S ribosomal RNA
Rfam family: Bacterial small subunit ribosomal RNA
Source: RNAcentral
UACGUGGGGUGCAAGCGUUAACCGGAAUUACUGGGCGUAAAGCGUGCGCAGGCGGUGAUGUAAGACAGAUGUGAAAUCCCCGGGCUCAACCUGGGAACUGCAUUUGUGACUGCAUCGCUGGAGUACGGCAGAGGGGGAUGGAAUUCCGCGUGUAGCAGUGAAAUGCGUAGAUAUGCGGAGGAACACCGAUGGCGAAGGCAAUCCCCCGGGCCUGUACUGACGCUCAUGCACGAAAGCGUGGGGAGCAAACAGG